Molecule: ribosomal RNA, 209 nt
Filed under: Klebsiella pneumoniae
Lineage: Bacteria; Pseudomonadati; Pseudomonadota; Gammaproteobacteria; Enterobacterales; Enterobacteriaceae
Description: partial 16S ribosomal RNA
Rfam family: Bacterial small subunit ribosomal RNA
Source: RNAcentral
GGAACUGUGAGACAGGUGCUGCAUGGCUGUCGUCAGCUCGUGUUGUGAAAUGUUGGGUUAAGUCCCGCAACGAGCGCAACCCUUAUCCUUUGUUGCCAGCGGUUCGGCCGGGAACUCAAAGGAGACUGCCAGUGAUAAACUGGAGGAAGGUGGGGAUGACGUCAAGUCAUCAUGGCCCUUACGACCAGGGCUACACACGUGCUACAAUG